RNAcentral lists this ribosomal RNA (540 nucleotides) under Salmonella enterica. Its description in RNAcentral is "partial 23S ribosomal RNA". It matches the Rfam family "Bacterial large subunit ribosomal RNA", at positions 1181 to 1719 of the family's 2925-position model. The record is from RNAcentral. Lineage: Bacteria; Pseudomonadati; Pseudomonadota; Gammaproteobacteria; Enterobacterales; Enterobacteriaceae.
GUCAAAGCGUUCAUUAAAGUCGAGUUGGCUUAGGGAUACGUUCGUUGGGUAGGGGAGCGUUCUGUAAGCCUGUGAAGGUGUGUCGUGAGGCAUGCUGGAGGUAUCAGAAGUGCGAAUGCUGACAUAAGUAACGAUAAAGCGGGUGAAAAGCCCGCUCGCCGGAAGACCAAGGGUUCCUGUCCAACGUUAAUCGGGGCAGGGUGAGUCGACCCCUAAGGCGAGGCCGAAAGGCGUAGUCGAUGGGAAACGGGUUAAUAUUCCCGUACUUGGUGUUACUGCGAAGGGGGGACGGAGAAGGCUAUGUUGGCCGGGCGACGGUUGUCCCGGUUUAAGCGUGUAGGUGUGUGUUCCAGGUAAAUCCGGUUCACUUUAACACUGAGGCGUGACGACGAGGCACUACGGUGCUGAAGCAACAAAUGCCCUGCUUCCAGGAAAAGCCUCUAAGCAUCAGGUAACACGAAAUCGUACCCCAAACCGACACAGGUGGUCAGGUAGAGAAUACCAAGGCGCUUGAGAGAACUCGGGUGAAGGAACUAGGCA